GGACAGGAAUGUUUCUGGUGAAAACACCAUUAGCCUUCCAUGGAGCUACCAUUCACCAACCUAGAGGUGGCGUUCAUUUUACUGGCUUUCUUCAUCUUUACCUUGUUUACUCUGGCCUCCAUCUACACCAGCCCUAAUGAGAGGAAUGAAGAAGAUGACCUCCACCUAAAGGAAAAGAGAAGGAAAAGAAAAGAGUUUAAAAAGAAGAAAAGUUGCUCAGAUGAAGAACACAGAAUUGAAACAAUAUAACCAUGACCUCAGCCACCUGUGAAAGCGCAACUCCCCUAAGAAUGCCUGCUGGGAUUGCUCAACUGGCCCGCAAGACUGAGGACAUUAAAACAGAUUUCAGAUCAUAAUCACUAGGACUCAACACAGGGAGCGAGGCUUCAUACUCUCUUUUUGACACCCUGUUCCAGAAUAUUUAUAAUGCCGAUUAUGAGCACUAGCUGUAAUAAAAAAAAAAAGAAUACAGUCAAAGUAAGAUCUUUCAAGGAAGAGAAAAUAUGUAUGUAUUAUAAUCUAGUUAGAGAAAAACAGUCUCUGGAACUGUGGCUCAGUGGGAGAGUACUUGCCUAACAUGCUUAAGGCUCUGAGUUGAUUCCCAGCUCUGAAAAAAAAGGGGGGCAGGGGGAUAAAUAAAUAAAUAGGGUGCUGGUGAGAUGGCUCAGUAGUUAAGAUCACUGGCUGUUCUUCCAGAAGUCUUGAGUUCAAUUCCCAACAACCACAUGGUGGCUCACAACCAUCUAUAAAGGGAUCUGAUGCCCUCUUCUGGCAUGCAGCUGUACAUGCAGAGCACUAAUACAUUUAAAAUUAAUGAAUAAAUGAAUGAAUGAAUGUACAAUGACUUUUAAAAAUUAUGUACAUAUGUAUGUGUCCAUAUGUAAAUAUGUUCACAUGAGUGCAGGUACCCACAGAGGCCAGAGGAGGGCAUCAGACCCUCAGAGCCAGGGUCACAGGAGGCUGAGUCACCAGGAUAUUGAGACCUGAACUCAGGUCCUCUGCAACAGCAAACACCCUUAACUACUGAUCCACUACUCCAGCUCCAAGAACAAUACAUUUUAACUGCUUUUCUUUCCCCUGGAUAUGCACAUUAUAAUUUAUAAGCUACAGUUCUUCUGUUGUAAAACUACAAUUAACCAUAUCCAUGCUGCUGCUUAAUUAUCGGACUUAAUAAGGACUUCUGAAAUAAAUACUAAAGACAAAA
This is a long non-coding RNA of Mastomys coucha (southern multimammate mouse), 1204 nucleotides long. RefSeq lists it as uncharacterized. The record is from RefSeq and is a predicted model, not a curated record. The transcript has 3 exons. Lineage: Eukaryota; Metazoa; Chordata; Mammalia; Rodentia; Muridae.